This 521-nucleotide ribosomal RNA is filed under the name uncultured endophytic bacterium. RNAcentral describes it as "bacterial SSU rRNA". It matches the Rfam family "Bacterial small subunit ribosomal RNA", at positions 8 to 524 of the family's 1533-position model. The record is from RNAcentral.
AGAGUUUGAUCCUGGCUCAGAUUGAACGCUGGCGGCAGGCCUAACACAUGCAAGUCGAGCGGAUGAAGGGAGCUUGCUCCUGGAUCCAGCGGCGGACGGGUGAGUAAUGCCUAGGAAUCUGCCUGGUAGUGGGGGACAACGUUUCGAAAGGAACGCUAAUACCGCAUACGUCCUACGGGAGAAAGCAGGGGACCUUCGGGCCUUGCGCUAUCAGAUGAGCCUAGGUCGGAUUAGCUAGUUGGUGAGGUAAUGGCUCACCAAGGCGACGAUCCGUAACUGGUCUGAGAGGAUGAUCAGUCACACUGGAACUGAGACACGGUCCAGACUCCUACGGGAGGCAGCAGUGGGGAAUAUUGGACAAUGGGCGAAAGCCUGAUCCAGCCAUGCCGCGUGUGUGAAGAAGGUCUUCGGAUUGUAAAGCACUUUAAGUUGGGAGGAAGGGCAGUUACCUAAUACGUGACUGUUUUGACGUUACCGACAGAAUAAGCACCGGCUAACUCUGUGCCAGCAGCCGCGGUAAU